RNAcentral lists this ribosomal RNA (258 nucleotides) under uncultured bacterium. RNAcentral's name for it is "partial 16S ribosomal RNA". It matches the Rfam family "Bacterial small subunit ribosomal RNA", at positions 335 to 594 of the family's 1533-position model. The record is from RNAcentral.
AUCCUACGGGGGGCAGCAGUGGGGAAUAUUGCACAAUGGGGGAAACCCUGAUGCAGCGACGCCGCGUGAGUGAAGAAGUAUUUCGGUACGUAAAGCUCUAUCAGCAGGGAAGAAAAAAAGUCCUUUGGACUUUGGACGGUACCUGACUAAGAAGCCCCGGCUAACUACGUGCCAGCAGCCGCGGUAAUACGUAGGGGGCAAGCGUUAUCCGGAUUUACUGGGUGUAAAGGGAGCGUAGACGGUCCUGCAAGCCAGAUG